UCUCUUGCCCUUGUACGGUGCACGGAUGUCAGUAUUUUCCCAUUUGUGCAAUGACACAACAACAAUCUGCACAAUAUUUGCAAUGGCUGUAAAAUAUGUCAAACCAAAACCUCUGCUAAUUUUCCAAUAACACGUAAAAAAAUAAUUGCAACCCUGUGCCAGCAGUCAUCCUACAUAAAAACAUAUUUGUCCGUUAAAUUGUUGAGUAAGUUCUUAAUAAAAAUGAAUGAAGAAGGUGUGCCCUCAGCUAAAAAGGAAAAGUAGCAGCCAAAUAAAAAGUGGAAGGAGACGGAGGUGCUUUCAAUCAUAGACUUUUUUAUAGAGGAGGUAGAAAUUGCGGCUCCAAGUGGUCAAUUCCACCCCCAUCGUCAUUCCAAUUUUCAACACAGAAAAUGUCUAUGGAAGAGAAUUGACUUGAAUUUUGAAAAUAUAAAUGUGAAAAAGAAAAGAAAAUUCAUGAAAAAAAAAG
Molecule: long non-coding RNA, 469 nt
Organism: Bactrocera tryoni
Lineage: Eukaryota; Metazoa; Arthropoda; Insecta; Diptera; Tephritidae
Exons: 3
Source: RefSeq, a predicted model, not a curated record